UUUCCUCAUUUUUUCUUUUCCCCACAACAAAUCAGAGAACAUUACUCCCCUUCCUCCCUCCCAUUUCUCACUCACGGCUCUCUCUUUCUCUUCUCUAAUCUUCAUCAAGCUUCAAUUUUUGCUCAAACUUCAAACAUGCAAGAUUAAAAUCAUGUCAUAGGUAUCAAAUCAAAUCUCCAGCCAACUCUUUUUCCCUCAUUCCUCCUCUUUUUAAACUCAACCACCAUCAACCAUAAGAAGAUUUGAAAGUUUUGGUUAAGCUCAUAAUUGGGAUUGCAUAUGUGUUAAUUGUGGUGUUAGAUGCAAGAAAGUGAAUUUUCAACUUAAGCAGAAGAUUGGGGUCUGAUAGGAGCUUGGAGCUUUUCAAGGGAAUCAACUCAAAACAUGGUGCUGGAAACCAUUAGGUACAUCUAAUGGUUUUGGAAUACAACUCACAGAAACUAUUUCUGGAUUUAUGCAAGGUGCAUAAGGAUUUCCUUAUGCACCAUAACCGCAGCCGUUAGAGACUUGCUUCCCAAUUGGUGCUGCUGGGAAUUUUCUUUUGCGACGGGUAGUGUCAUGUAACACUUUAAGACCCGAAUUUGAAUUAUUAAAUAAAAGAAUAUAUUUAAUUAAAA
Long non-coding RNA from Medicago truncatula (barrel medic), 617 nucleotides. RefSeq lists it as uncharacterized. Lineage: Eukaryota; Viridiplantae; Streptophyta; Magnoliopsida; Fabales; Fabaceae. The transcript has 2 exons. The record is from RefSeq and is a predicted model, not a curated record.